ACUAAUACUCCCUCUUCUCUCUUCCUAACACCCACACAACAAAAACACCCACGCAUAGUAUACUCCCUCUAUCUCCCUUUAAUUCUUCACACAACAAAAAAAACACACCCAUUAAUCCAUCCCUCUACCUCUCCGCAACUCCAUCAAACCUCACUAUUCCGCUACCAACCUUCAUCCACCAUCCCGUCUUCUUCAACACAGUAUAAUACCCCUCCGCCAAUCGCUGCAAACCGCAAGCCACAAACAAACAGCAAACUCCCUCUAAUCUCUGCCAAACAAUCGUAUUCCACUUUUCCUUUUUAUUUUAUUUUAAUUUGA
Molecule: non-coding RNA, 318 nt
Organism: Vicia faba (fava bean)
Lineage: Eukaryota; Viridiplantae; Streptophyta; Magnoliopsida; Fabales; Fabaceae
Source: the annotation of a GenBank genome assembly